Molecule: long non-coding RNA, 2733 nt
Filed under: Triticum aestivum (bread wheat)
Lineage: Eukaryota; Viridiplantae; Streptophyta; Magnoliopsida; Poales; Poaceae
Description: long non-coding RNA (TAES_LNC013997)
Source: RNAcentral
AGCUACUUGUCAUCGGUUACAUGAGGAUUCAGGAUCUCAAUGAUUAAUCUUCAAUGACAACAAGACCAUGAAGUCUCUUAUUUUUGGAGAAGACUCUGCUGGUGCUUUCAGAUUCAGAACUGCACAAGGAGGUUACCAAGAUAAAUCAGAUCUAAGCUAUUACAAGGCUGCAGGUGUGUCCUCCUUCCCUAGUUUUCGGCUAUCUUAGGUAGCACUCAGAACAAUCUUCCUCUGUGCAAUCAAAAUAAUCCACUUAUGUUGUAUCUGUUGAAGUUGGCCAGACCCGUAUACUGUGUGAGUAAUGCAUUGUGAUUUCUUCCAGCAACAUAAUCACAAUAAAGAUUUCUUGUGGAAGAGGGAUGAUCUUCUUAAUUUGUGAUGGCACCAAUGUCUGGCAAGCUGGCAUGUAUGUAUGUUCAGGUUGUAGUUGCCAUCCAUUGUUUUCCUUGGAUUCACAAAAUAUCUGGACCUAAUCUGUAGCGUUGUUGUUGAUAAUACUUGUUACUGGUGACAUACUUACCACAGCAUGGGCAAUUGGGCAUAUGCUCUUGCAUUGAUGACACAUUAAUAUGUGAAUUUCUACCCUCCUAGAGCCAAUAUUCUUGCUGUGUUAGGAUCUCCUAAAGUGAACAUGAUGUCUGCUUUUAAUUGAAGUUGUUGUAAUCAUGGUAGAAUAUAUUGAUUUGUGCUAUAAUGAUUCCUAUGACACUACAGUUUUGCUUUCACAUUCAUUUCUUGAUUGCGUUAUAUUUUUUAUCUUGUAUCUGACUUAACAACUUUAGCUAUUUAAUAGGUUAUGUGUACGCGUCAUCCAAUCCUGUUAUCACCCGGUUGUUUUUGGGCCUUGUCGUCACCUUGUAAAACAUUUCGAACUUUUUCUACGCCACUUUUGAAAAGAUGGUUCUGUGCAUCAAAUGAUGCAGAUGCCGGGGGUUUAACCUCCUUUCUAGAAAAGAUAAACAACAACUUUUGCUAUUUGUUUCCUGGAAGUAGAAUAGGCAGAUUGGCAAGCUGACAGGUAUGUAAUGUCAGAUUGGUUUCCUCUUUGACUUGGUUCAGAUUUGAACAUUUGAGGCAUUUAACCUGAUAUAUCCCUAUAUGGCAGAGGAACAUGUAUGCACAGUUAUCUGGUUAAGUGUCACUGCUCUUGUUAGUUAAUAACACCAAGUUUGCUGCAUUGACUGUAGCAGAGUCCCUAUUCUCAAAAAAAAAAGACUAUAGCAGAGUCCCAAGUGUUUUGAGGUGCUUCUCGAAAGAACUGCUUUGUUUGGUCAUGUGUGUUUAAAUUAGAUAGGUUAACAAUAUGAAAUAAGACUUGAGAAGGAUUGCUUGGAAAGAUUCUGCUUAUUUCACUUUUCUCACUUCUCAUGCCAAUAUCCUAGGUAGCUAGCUCAAUGCGAAAAUAAGCAGUUCCCAUUGCCAUUACAACCCCAGGUAUGAUGGUGGUUCUCUACUUUUGACGGGCCAAUUCAAGUUGAAGAUCAAAUCCGUCAUCAACAACUUGCCAGCACACUCUCAGUCAUACCAAAUUACCCAUGGCUCCAUGAGGGUUCAGGAUCUCCACUGUUAAGCUUCAAUUACCAUCAGGCCAUCCAACCGAUCAAUGAGGUCUCUUUAUUUCGAGAUUGCUGUAGUGGCCUCAGAUUCAGAAGUGCACACGGUGGUCUAAGAUAUUACGAUCCAGGUGAGUGGUCCUUCUCUAGUUUUCUUGCUUAAGUUGUACCCACAAGAGCACACACUGACUUGACUUGUAGGUUCACUGGCUGGCUCUUGAGAUGGCCUCAUCAGCAACAAGAUUAGCAUUCCCCACUCUCACCAAGCCAUGACGCUGUUUUGAUGAUUUCAGAUACUAAAGCUCACAACCAGGAAGUCACUACAGGUCCAAAUCUAGCAGGAUCUCCAUCGAUUACGAGACAGGUUUGCUGCCCUUAAUUUGGUUUGCUUCCUACUCCCUCCGUUCCAAAAUAGAUGACUCAACUUUGUACUAACUUUAGUACAAAGUUAAUACAAAGUUGGAUCAUCUAUUUUGGAACGGAGGGAGUACUCUCUAGAUGGCUACGUCAAUGCAGAAAUGAGUUGUUUCCUUCAUUACAAGCCAGGUAUGGUUGUUGUUCUCUGAUAAUAACUGGUAAAAGGGAACAAGGAAGACACGUCAAGUUAAAGAUCAGAUCCGGCUACUUGUCAUCAGCAACAAGCUUACACACUCUCAGACACAGCCAUGACUCCAUGAGGGUUCAGGAUGUCCAUGGUUAACCUUCAAUGACAACCUCAGCAGCCAAGCUAUGAGGUCUAGUUUUCUGGUGAGGGUCCAUGAUAAGCCAACAUUCUGACGGUUUCAGAUUCAGAAAUGCACAAGGAGGUCACCAACAUCGAUCAGAUCUAAGCCAUUUAGGCAGGUGUGUUGUCCUUUCUAAUUUUCUGGCUAUCUUAGUUUGUAUUAAGAACAAUAUAUCUUCCUUGGUGCAAACAAAAAACACUCCUCUAUCUUUUGAAAGUUAGCAAGCCUAGUAUACUUUGUGACUAAUACGUUGUCAUUUCUUCCAGCUUUGUAAGCACAAUAAAGAUCUCUCCCGGAAGGACGGGCUUCUUAUUUUUUGAAGAUGCCAAGGUCUUUGAGAGUGGGAAGAUAUUUUCAGGUUUUAGUUCUCGUCCAUCAUUUCCCUUGGAUGCACAAAUAAUCUGGAAUUAAUCUGUAGCAUAGUUGUCCACAGUGCUCAUUACUGGUGACAUACU